CUGAUGCGCAUGCGUAGAUUGGAUUUUCUACCUCACGAGGAAAGAAAGACAACCAAAAUGAUCUCAAGAAUCCAAUGGAGUCUUCUCACCACGAAGCCAACCCAAACUAAGCAAAUGAUGUCUUCAUGGUUCACCCAGUGACUACACAAACAGACUGCUGCAUGGAGCUAUGAUGGAGUGAUGAUGGAGUGCACACUGUUACAGUACAACGGAAGCUCAAGGUAUAACAGACCAGACUGGACUGAUGCAUGCAGCUUCUAUUCCCAUUCAAGUAAAGAUCGUGCAGUGAAGACUCUAACUGCAUGCAGAAAUCAAUGCCAUAUAAUAAACAGACUUAACGGCAUGGGACUGGCUUCUCUCUCUCUUUCAUUGGCUGAGCUCUGCACUUGUAAUUUAUAAGAACUAGAGGAGGAUGCUCCACUGGGUCCAUCGUUAGUCGUCGUCGUUAGGAUGUUUGUUGCCGUCAAUUGUUUGUUGUUGUUCCAUUGUUCGUCGUCGUCAGGGUGUUUGUUGCCGUCCCGGGUUCAUUGUUAGUUGUUGCCCCAUUGUUUGUUAUUGUUCCGUUCGUUGUUGGUCCAGUGUUCGUCGUCGUCGUUGUUGUGUUUGUUGGGUCAAUGGGGUCGGGGUUAUAUAUUAUAUUGCACUCUUCUAAUUCUACGGAAAACUCACGCAGUGCGUUGAUGUUUGCUGAGAGCCUUGGAGGCAUGCAGGGAACUAACCCCACUACCUCCCUCAAGACUCGUAGAAGCUCCCUCUGCAAGAAAAAAGAAAAUUUAGUGAUAAAUAAUCGAGUAUGUAUGUAAUAAACUUACGUUAGUUUCAAGAAGCUGUUCCGUAUAUGUUCCCCCCGAACCAGUGCCUCCGCCUUGUCCUCCUUCAUCCUCAGUUGGUGGUGGUGGGUAUUUGACCCAUCUUAGCCAUUUGGCAUAAUCUUUAUCACGCAGCUGGAAUUUGACUAGUUUAAUGUUGGGGCUGGGAACGAGGGUGUCUUUAAAUUGAGGAUGUAGAAUGUUCACAGGGUUAAUUAUGCACGACUGUACGUUUUUGUGCCAAUCCAGAGGAGUGGGCUGUCAAGCAUAGGAAAUUUAGCAAACGACAUUUGAUUAGAUGAACUGUUAGGCCGAGCCAUUACUGACAUACACAUUAACUGUGCAUGGUGCAAAGGCUGUAGCAAGUGGUCAGGCUGGUGGCUACUUUUUGUAGCUAGGUAGGUAAUGGUCGUCAAUAUUGUAAUUGAUCACUCUAGCUACGCCCCUGCAUACAAUGGAUUUGUUUGUAUCGUAACUAUAGCAACCACCACAUGCCUCUUCACGAAAAGAAAAAUGGCGGGAAAUUCAAAAUGAUGUCUACGCGCAUACGCCAUGCAAUUAUUGGUCGGCCUAAUGCACGUCGCUCAAAUGCAUGCAACUUGCUGUGAACUUCCUUCAAGUGCUUGAUAUAGGUCGUGGCAUUUCGGUACGAAUGAUCUUUUAGAUCAAUCGGGUCUCUCCAAGAGAACUCAGUCUGUAUGGAAUGAUGAAGAUAGCUAUAAAUCGACUGUUAAGAAAUUAGCUAGUUUUCUACAAUUACGGGAGCUCCGGGGCUGCAAGAAGCACGUUGGGCAAAGUAGUGUUAAAUUAAAUUUUAAUUAUAUUGAUUAUUAUUUUUUGGGUUUCGACUCAGGCAUACUUUAUAAUUAUGCUUUCUGAAAGUUGCCAGCAUAUAGCACUGUAGGCAGUACAGCUUGGAGUUAGGUUGGCGGCGCUUAGAGCAUUGUAGCACCGCUACAACCAUCUUUUUGGUGAGAGCCCUGCACCAAAUGAAUAUACUAAGUAAAUGAGUGUUCUGCAUGCCAUCAGCAUUGCCGACAUUGUACAUGCACGUGUGUGAUUAAGUUAUAACUAGGUGUAUCUACUGCAUGAUUAUACUUACGUUAACUCGUCCUGUUGCCAGCAUAUAGCACUGUAUAUAGGCAGUACAGCUUGGAGUUAGGUUGGCGGCGCUUAGAGCAUUGUAGCACCGCUACAACCAUCUUUUUGGUGAGAGUCUGCACCAAAUGAAUAUACUAAGUAAAUGAGUGUCCUGCAUGCGCCGACAUUGUACAUGCAUGUGUGAUCAAGUUAUGGAGAAUUUCAUCAGCACCACAUUUAAAAGAGAGAUUCCAUUUGAUUCCUUUUGUUCUCCUCUUCCCUGCUGACCUAGUGAAGAAUACUCACAGGACUAUUUGAAGCUCACUGCCAGCGAAUUUGUAUGGGGCACCUAUUUGUCCAUUAAUUAGAAGCUCUUAAUUUGCGUUACCGUUCGACCAUAUACUGUUGUAUUUUGUCUAUUAUUUUACUAAUCAUAGCUAUAAGACGAACAAUUCAACUACUUUAUCUACUCUAUCUGCGUUACAUACUAUAUACACUAAAAUUAAGAAGAUAAUUAACAUUUUCGUCAUUCGGUUCUGAGUUGUCCCGGGUAUGUCUUUUGUUUAUCUAGUGUAUGACCGUCGUCCCCGUCAUCUCCUCUAUCUCCAUCAACACCGUCCACACCAGGGACGCCCGGUGGACCUUCGGGACCACGUUGGCCUUGUCGACCAGGUGAACCUACGGGAGGAAUGGGGGCAAUAUAGGAAAUACAUUAUUCCUCCUCAAACCUAUGUCCUGCAGUUUGGAUUGGGGUGUGUUCAGCCUGCAGAACCUAGGGAGCCGGAGGAACAAGAUUUGUUCAUAUGCAAUGACUAGUAUGAUGUUUCAAGAAACUGGUUUGAUUUUUUGUGGAUAAAUUAAUGGAAUAAAGUAUAAUUAUAAUGAAAUGAUUUAUGUCAUUAAUAAAUAUGUCGUAAGCUGUCAAUCGCACACUAUAAUUGCAGAUGGACAAUAAUUUGAGCCUAGCCAUGGCUACUCAACAGGAGUAUGAUGACAAUCACAUACUACUCUACAUUCAUUUGGUAUGCAGCUUUACCCGGAUGAUGUAUCGGGGUUCUGUCCUAGGACCAAACCACCGGGGGGGAGGCGUAGUCCUAUAAGAACUGUCGCCCGGAGGUUCUAUCCUGAUGUUAAUUUUACAUCCUGCAAUAGAUUACUCAGACUGCUCUGGCCUUUUGACUUCUGCUUCCUAUAAUUAUCAUCACUUGUGCUCCAUACAUCACAUAAAUAAUAUGCCUUACAAGUUAUUUUGUGUUUUUGUUUGUGUUCUGAUUCAUCUUUGCUGUAUCAAGAUAUACAAUACAUACUAACUUAUGAGUUUGUUUGAUUCCCUGCAGAUGUGCAAGUAUAGACUGACUACUUGGACAGUGCAGCUCAGUUUUGAGGUAUCCCCUGUGUUGAAUAUCUCAAUGUGGCCAUGCCAGACAACAAGCAUUACUGCACUGAGGAUGAUAGCUACCAGAGUUUCAGUCAUGGAAGUCAAGCAAUAUGGAAAUGGAACUCUAACUGCUGUCUAUCAUGUGGUCAUGGUCAUGCAUGGUCACAUGAUGGAUUGGUUCGGGAUCGAAGCACCCCUAUAUACUAACUGUCUGUGGAUGUGUGUGCAUGUGUCUGGAUUAAUCAUAGCUAGCCAUUGAUCACAAUAAUUAUAGACCAUUAAUUCUUAAUUAAUUUUUUGUUCAUGUAAUUACGUUAUCAAACGUUAUCAAAAGAGUAUACAAUUAAACAUGGUAACUAAU
Long non-coding RNA from Halichondria panicea, 3628 nucleotides. RefSeq lists it as uncharacterized. The transcript has 5 exons. The record is from RefSeq and is a predicted model, not a curated record. Lineage: Eukaryota; Metazoa; Porifera; Demospongiae; Suberitida; Halichondriidae.